GGGAGGCGCAAGGCGGCCACCUCCGCCGCUCGCCCCAGCAGCAGGAGCAGCCGCAGCUCUGCCGCACGCCGAAGUCUGGACUGCUCUCCGGGUCCCCUCGCCUGUGAGGAACACACACAGACACCGGGGGUGGGGGUGGGGUUUGAAGUGGGGGGAGUUGGAGGAGGAGGGAACGGAGGGAGGAAGCUUGGGCACCGUCAGGCGCUCUGGUCUCCAAUCUCAGUGUUCUCACGCCGGCGGAGAGAUGUCCCGGCUGUCGCUGCUGGGUGGCCAAGGAGGUUCACAUCCUAGAGUAGGGCGCACGGGUGCGCGAAGGCGCUCGCCAAGGAGGCGUAGAGGGCGCAGCACAACUCCUCUGGGGGGUAACCGGGGGCGGGAGCACGCCCGCCCGCCUUAUGUAAGCAAGGAUUGCAGGGAGAUCAGCGCCCAGGGCGGAAGGUGGAGACCAGCUGUGGGUUUGCCCGCUGAAGCCGAGGCGAGAGAGACCAGGGGACGAAGCGGCUGCGGAGAGUGGCAGCGCGCCUGACGAGAGUGGCAGCGCGCCUGCCUCCCGCGGUGCGCCAGACCUGGACGCCGGGAGUGCAGCGGGCGCGCCCCGGGCCACUAGGCUGUGUCCAGUGGAGCUCAGCCUGCUGCCUGCCGCCUUCUUCGCCGCGCCGGCAAAGCCUGAGCCGGAUUCCCUAGGACUGGACUCGCUCUACGACUUCGGGUCUCGCGGUUGACGAAGCCGGUGCGGGCUCGAACUGAAGCCCUACUUGGUUGGGGAAGAAGGCAUGAAGCUUUUGCAGUGCCCCAGCAGGCUGCUGUCCUGGGGUUGUCAGCGCCAGUCAGACUGCUUUAUGUUCUGAGCGCGUAUGACCCCUUUGCAGUGGAACAGAAACUAAAAGCUCGACGAAAACUCAUUCUGCAACAGUGCUUUCUUUGCGUGCAUCUUGGUGGCUGACAAGGGUGGUGAGGCGAUACCGGGAGAAACUCUCUUAGGAAAAAAAAAAAAAAUGCAAAGCAAAAUUUGUAGAUACUCAAAGUAAUGGUGGAGCCUAUAACAUGUUUUUCAAAUUUCUAAUAGUGUGUGUAAGAACUCGAGCUGCUAUGAAUUUGUUUACCUUUCUACAGGAAAUAAUUGUCUACGUAGGUGGGUUGUGAAUCCCUGUGGUCAUGAUGGAGGGAUGCAAGAUUGGGUGGGUAAAAUAAGGAAAGACUAGACAAAAGGAAAGUGAAUUUAUUAAAAGGUCAACACACAGACACAGACAGCAUUUUGGGAAAAAGAAAACCACUUCCCAAGAUUAGCAUGUCUUUAAACUAAUAAUACAUCAGGGAAUUUUAUGCUCUUGGAGCCAAGGGGGCCAUGUGUAAACACACAUGCACGCACACACACACGCAGGAAACAUGAGGUCUAAUUUUGGCUGUGGUCAUAACUACUCUGUUACCCUGGGUAAGUCAGGUAACCUGUGAAUGUCUCAGUUUCUUCAUUUGUGAAAUAUUUUGAUAGUUUCAAAGUUCUCUUAAGUUCUAACAUUCUAUGAUUCUGCCUGCACAGCCCCAUCCGUCUAGGCAAUAAGACCUAUCUUGGAUGAAUCAGGGAGAUCCAAAAAGGUAGUAUUUGCCAAAGACAUUGACAAAACUGGCCAAUUCUUAUUUCUGUGGAGACUCUGUCCACCACACAAAACCCUUCUUCACUCUCUUCAUCUUCUCCAUACCAAGACAUCAAGAUAUUUGACAACAGGGUAGGUGCUGGCACCAGACUGUCUGCCUUCAGUUCUUAGCAUUUCUUAUUACUUGACUGAUAUUGAACAUUAAAGCUAGGUGCCUCUCUUCCCUAAUUUGUAAGAUGGGUCUAGUAACAGGAACUAUCUCAUAGGGUUAUUUGAGGAUUAUGUAAGUUAAACAUACGUAAAAUGCCUGACACCAAAAUUGUAAACUGCUGGUCUUACCAUUGAUGAAAAAUUCCCAUUAGCCUCAUGCUAUCUAGACCAGUGCUGUUCAGCAGAAAUUUCUGCAAUGAAGAACAUGUUCAUAUUUGUGCUUUCUGAAGUCAUAGUUAUGAGAUACAUGUGGCUACUUGCAAUGUGGCUAGUGUGAAUUGGAAAUUUUUAUUUAAUUUUAAUUUAAAUAGUCACACGUGGCCAGCAGCUACCAUAUUUUAUGGUGUAUCGAGGCCACUAAUAACUUGUCAAGUAUUUUGAGAAUGACUUCACAAGGGAUUAUUAUACUUUAUAUUUAUAUGUACAAUUUUACUAAGAAGGACAACAGCUUAAAUACUAAGAAAUCUCCACACAUACUCACCAUCACAUCAACAACAUCCAAAAGUUAUUUGUUUAUUUAUUUACAAUUUUAUUGCCUGUCUUCUUAAAUUAGAAUUUAACUCUUUUAAGACAGAGAUUUUGCCUUUGUUCAUUAUUUCAACCACAGCUCCUAAACUGAGCCUGAUAUAUAGUUGGUACUCAAUCAAUAUUGAUUGAUUUCCUGCCAAAAAAGCUCAAUGGGGAAGACUCCUCAAAGUCUAGGACAGCUAAAGAAGGUUGAAAUUGUUGCCUACUCCUGUUUGGGGUAUUGAGGUACUCAGUGACAGAUACCACAUGCAAUUAGUUCCUUAAAAUAAAGAAUAAGAGAUUAAAAGAGGAAAUGUAGUUAAAUACUGAAAUUCAGCCUAAAGAUGGCAGGAGAAUGGUUUGAGAAGUGGUAUAGAAUAAUGAGGUGGAAAAGGGGGAAGACAGUGAGAGCACCACACAAAGGACAGGAAAAACACCAGCAAUACAUCAGCUUUACACAGCAGGCAAGUUUCCUGCUAUCUACAAGUACAGAUGGAACUUGUCUUGUGGAUUAACAUCCUGACUACUUUUGUUGAUCAUCACAUUUUUUCCUCAUGAGAGAAAUAAUAGUGUUUUAUAGGCUCCUGAGAAUAGGCUUACUAAAGUCACCGAGAUCUGGGUUCAAAUGACACUGCUUAGGGAGGCAUUCACUGACCAAGUUACCUAAAAUAGCAACAAUCUAUCAUCCAAAAUAUCAUUUGCCGGCUUUGAUUUUGCAUAUAACACUUACUUUAUAUAUGUACAUAUAUGUGUAUAUAUAAGUGUGUGUGUGUGUGUGUGUAUAUAUAUAUCUAUAUAUAUAUACAGUCGCCAAUAAAAUAUAUGCUUCUCAGGGGAGGAAUUUUUUUCUAAUACAUUCAGUGCUCUAUACCCAGAACCUGGAACAAUACCUUGUACAUAAUAGGUGAUCAAUAAAUACUUACCAAAUAUUGAAUGGAUUGAAUCAGAACCAAUGGAUUUAAAAUUGAGCUAAGUCCUUCAUUAAACCUUCUUCCUCUCCUCUUCAGCCUCCCAAGUUAUCAAAUUAUGAGUAGGCUUUUCUAGUUGUUGAAUAAAAUCAAGUUUUGAC
RNAcentral lists this non-coding RNA (3378 nucleotides) under Pongo abelii (Sumatran orangutan). The record is from RNAcentral. Lineage: Eukaryota; Metazoa; Chordata; Mammalia; Primates; Hominidae.